GAUGAACGCUGGCGGCGUGCCUAACACAUGCAAGUCGAGCGGCAGCGAGGGGUGCUUGCACCCUGUCGGCGAGCGGCGGACGGCUGAGUAACGCGUGGGAACGUGCCCCAAAGUGAGGAAUAACUGCCCGAAAGGGUAGCUAAUACCGCAUAUUAUCUUCGGAUCAAAGGAUUUAUCCGCUUUGGGAGCGGCUCGCGUCGGAUUAGGUAGUUGGUGAGGUAAUGGCUCACCAAGCCGACGAUCCGUAGCUGGUCUGAGAGGAUGACCAGCCAGACUGGAACUGAGACACGGUCCAGACUCCUACGGGAGGCAGCAGUGAGGAAUCUUCCACAAUGGGCGAAAGCCUGAUGGAGCAACGCCGCGUGCAGGACGAAGGCCUUCGGGUUGUAAACUGCUUUUAUAAGUGAGGAAUAUGACGGUAACUUAUGAAUAAGGAUCGGCUAACUGCGUG
RNAcentral lists this ribosomal RNA (451 nucleotides) under uncultured bacterium. RNAcentral describes it as "partial 16S ribosomal RNA". It matches the Rfam family "Bacterial small subunit ribosomal RNA", at positions 28 to 507 of the family's 1533-position model. The record is from RNAcentral.